RNAcentral lists this ribosomal RNA (219 nucleotides) under uncultured bacterium. RNAcentral describes it as "partial 16S ribosomal RNA". It matches the Rfam family "Bacterial small subunit ribosomal RNA", at positions 219 to 437 of the family's 1533-position model. The record is from RNAcentral.
GAUUGGAGCGGCCGAUAUCGGAUUAUCUAUUUGGUGAGGUAAAGGCUCACCAAGGCGACAAUCCGUAUCUGGUCUGAGAGGACGACCACCCACACUGGAACUGAGACACGGUCCAGACUCCUACGGGAGGCAGCAGUGGGGAAUUUUGGACAAUGGGGGCAACCCUGAUCCAGCCAUUCCGCGUGAGUGAAGAAAGCCUUCGGGUUGUAAAGCUCUUUC